Molecule: ribosomal RNA, 997 nt
Filed under: Larinus planus
Lineage: Eukaryota; Metazoa; Arthropoda; Insecta; Coleoptera; Curculionidae
Description: SSU rRNA
Rfam family: Eukaryotic small subunit ribosomal RNA
Source: RNAcentral
UUACCCACUCCCGGCACGGGGAGGUAGUGACGAAAAAUAACGAUACGGGACUCAUCCGAGGCCCCGUAAUCGGAAUGAGUACACUCUAAACCCUUUAACGAGGAUCAAUUGGAGGGCAAGUCUGGUGCCAGCAGCCGCGGUAAUUCCAGCUCCAAUAGCGUAUAUUAAAGUUGUUGCGGUUAAAAAGCUCGUAGUCGAAUUUGUGUCUCGUGCCGCCGGUUCAUCGUUCGCGGUGUUAACUGGCGAGUCGCGAGACNUCCUGCCGGUGGGCUUAGNUCUCGCAAGGGGGCGGCCCAACUCAAUCCUGCCGCGGUGCUCUUCACUGAGUGUCGAGGUGGGCCGGCACGUUUACUUUGAACAAAUUAGAGUGCUUAAAGCAGGCUAAAAUUUCGCCUGAAUACUGUGUGCAUGGAAUAAUGGAAUAGGACCUCGGUUCUAUUUUGUUGGUUUUCGGAACCCCGAGGUAAUGAUUAAUAGGAACGGAUGGGGGCAUUCGUAUUGCGACGUUAGAGGUGAAAUUCUUGGAUCGUCGCAAGANNGACAGAAGCGAAAGCAUUUGCCAAAAACGCUUUCAUUGAUCAAGAACGAAAGUUAGAGGUUCGAAGGCGAUCAGAUACCGCCCUAGUUCUAACCAUAAACGAUGCCAGCUAGCGAUCCGUCGACGUUCCUCCGAUGACUCGACGGGCAGCUUCCGGGAAACCAAAGCUUUUGGGUUCCGGGGGAAGUAUGGUUGCAAAGCUGAAACUUAAAGGAAUUGACGGAAGGGCACCACCAGGAGUGGAGCCUGCGGCUUAAUUUGACUCAACACGGGAAACCUCACCAGGCCCGGACACUGGAAGGAUUGACAGAUUGAGAGCUCUUUCUUGAUUCGGUGGGUGGUGGUGCAUGGCCGUUCUUAGUUGGUGGAGCGAUUUGUCUGGUUAAUUCCGAUAACGAACGAGACUCUAGCCUGCUAACUAGGCGNANUUUGACAUCCUAAAGGCCCGCCGGCUUGGGG